UACCUGCUCCGCGAGGGGUUAGGACUCUUACUGGGCUUAAAGCGUCUGUAGCCGGACCGGCAUGCUCCGCGUUAAAUCCAGCAGCCUAACUGCUGGGCUGCGCGGAUGACUGCCGGGCUUGGGGGUGGGAGAGGGCGGCGGUAUUCCCGGGGUAGGGGUAAAAUCCACUGAUCCCGGGAGGACCACCAGUGGCGAAGGCGGCCGCCCAGAACACGCCCGACGGUGAGGGACGAAAGCUGGGGGAGCGAUGGGG
Molecule: ribosomal RNA, 253 nt
Filed under: uncultured archaeon
Lineage: Archaea
Description: partial 16S ribosomal RNA
Rfam family: Archaeal small subunit ribosomal RNA
Source: RNAcentral